Molecule: long non-coding RNA, 771 nt
Organism: Corvus hawaiiensis (hawaiian crow)
Lineage: Eukaryota; Metazoa; Chordata; Aves; Passeriformes; Corvidae
Exons: 3
Source: RefSeq, a predicted model, not a curated record
UGAGGAAACUGUUACUGCCCUCAACAACUCUAUGAUAUUUGAUGCAAACUUUGGAGUAUUCAUCCUUUGGACAGGAUAACGCCACUGUAGAAGUUACACACAGACACUGGAUUUAUUUCCCUGUAACAAUGGGGUUAGUUCUCGGGCUCACAGGAGUUAAAAGGGGGUGGCUGCUGCUGCCCCACAGCUAACAUGGAGUGGGAAGGAAACCUCUGCACCCCACCUGCAAGCUGAAAACCAUAGGAACGUGUUACCUUGGAAGAACUCUGAUCUCCUGCUUACAGAAGCCCUUGUGGUGUACAGCUCCAGUGCCCCAGCAGAUACCACAAAAUAAUGAAGGCUGAAAUGACUAUGGAGUUGUCUGGAAAAAAACCCAUUUCAUCCUGUUUCACAAGAAACAAAGAAAAUGCAUUUUGUUCAGCUUUGAAGAUCACCUCCACCUAUACCUGCAUUUGUAGAGGUUUUCUGCUGGUGCUGGACAAGCUGCAGACUCUGAAGCAGCUGGUGGCCUGCACUGCUGCCAGUCUUCCCAUCAGGCAGUCUCUGCCCAAUUUGCAGAGACAGGUGGAAUGUGCCAAUGCCCAGCAAUCACAAGGUCCCAUGUCUUGACUUGUGUCAAGAUAAAGAUCCCUGGACACCUGAAAGGAUGUGGUUACAGGCUAGGCUCCUUAAUGCAUGUGCUCUUGCUUUCUAUGUGCAGGCAGUUCAGUGUAAAAGGUUAACAUUUUUCCUAACACUUUUUUUUCUGAAUAAAAUAACACAACAUAUAUA